CUUUUCCCCAUCACUAUUUAUCCCCUCUAUGCCCUCUUCUACCUCCACCCACCCUCCUCUCCCCCUCACAAUCACCACACUUCUGUCCAUGUCCGUGGGUUCUCCCUCUUUUUUUUUUCUUUUUGGCUCAAUCCCUCCACCCCCCUAACAAGGUCAUAGAUAGAUGCAACCUUAGUUCAUUUGUUCUGUUCAUUUUAAUUUCUAAACUUAAAUUCUGUAAUCUAAAAAGCAUACGGCGACUUGUGAAGGUUUUUUUUUGGUUCCUGUUUUUAGAUUUGCUUUGAUGGGACUGGGGUCUUUUGUGACAAGAUGACCAUAAAUAUGCAUUCAUUUAAUUACUACAAUUGUUUGAUUAAAUAUUUGAUGUCAGGGGGAUUGAGAAGUCAGCCACAGGAGUUUUCUAUUAAAACAAAUUUCAGACAAAAUGCUGCUCCUAUUUGCUUCUGCCAGUCAAUGGCAGGGGAAAUUUAAAGCCUUUCAGACAUUGGGACACAAAAUAAAAAUGUCAGUUCUACCCUCAGAUGUUUCCAAAUGGCUGUAUGUUAGACAUUGGAGAUAAAGCCUUUAUAUACAUCCUCAUAAAAAAAAAAAAAAAAGUUUACUUUGGAUGGCAAGUCUAGAAACUGAGCCUUGCUGAGGACUGUGAGUCUAAAGGCGCAUCCACACAGUGCUGCUUAGAAUUUCUGCAUUUCAUGUUUUGGGUUGGGUAACUGAAAUCGUUAACAUAGAAGUUCUUUACAUCUACCUUCGGCACAAAGGUUUUGUAAACUGAUUUUUAAGAAAGAGUUGGGACCGUAAAAAGGAGAAAUAAAAUACAUUGUUUAGUAUGCAUGUUUGACACUCAGGUUUAUUGAUAUGUUCUGCUUUAUGAAUACUAUAUGACAAAUGACAGAGGAGAGAUUGCACGUCACUAUCUCUGUUCUAUCUAUGUACUGCCAGUGGGCAAAGAUUUCUCAUUUCAUACAUCAUUUACAACUUCCUACAGUAAUUUUACACAGCUCAUAUCCUGGGAACCAGGCGUAGCAAUUAUCUAUACGUAUAUAUGCAAGCAGGCAUCCUGAACCAUGCUGUUCUAAGGAGAGUUCCAAGGUUCACACACUCCAACCAACACAAGUUGGCAAAAGCCAGGAAGUUGGCCAAUUAAAAAAACUUUCCUGUUUUAACUGAUGCCCUGGUGUUACCUCUGAAACAGGCUGUUUCAGGAGGUCUUCUUUUAUGCUAGUGUUUAUAAGAAUAAAAUAAGAUUUUCAGCUUUCUCAAAUGCCUUUGUGUUCCAAAGUUCAAGUAAGAAAAAAAGCCUAUGUCUUUUUCUGUUCACUUUCACUCUUUUGCUUCUCAAUAGAUGAAGAAAAAUACAAUACUGCAUUCCAGAAUAGAUAAAGAAACCUAAAAAUACAGAUUUUCAAUUUUAAGUGGGAGUAAAUAGUGAAGCUUAACAAUAUUUUGUUAUUUUGGACUUUCUGAGGUUAUGUAACGUUAUCAUAGUUUUCCUGCCUUUUCUUAUACAAUACACAUAACUUUUAGAAAGAUUGUAAAUUUCUAAAUUUAUACAUAUUUGACAACUUCUAGAAAUAAAUUUUGGACUUUCAUGAGUUACCAAUAACCCACGAUUAAUAUUUAAUUUUUUAAUUUCUUUUGUCAAAUUUUAUUAUUUUUCAUCCACAAUGUGGGUAACUACAUGUAUUAGUUUUCUAUCAUUGUGUAAGAAAUUACUCUAAAAGCAGUAGCUUAAAACAACAGAUGUUUGCUAUUUAACAAUUUUUGUGGAUCAGGAAUCUCAGCACAGAUUAGCUGUGUCUUCUGAAAGGCUGUGGUCCAGGCAUUGGUCAAGGUCCAGUUCCUAUCCGAAUACUCAGCUGGGGAAGGAACCAUUCACAAAUUCCCUGGGGUUCCUGCCAUCGUUCAUUUCCUUGCAGUUGUAGGACUGAGGGCCUCAUUUUCUUGCUGGAGAUCAACUGGAGGUCCUUGCAGUUGCAGACUAUCACAGACUAGAUGCUCCCCUCAGUUCAUAGAGGCUGCCCUCGGUUUUUUACCAUGUGGGCCUUCCAUCAUGACUGCUUGCUUCCUCAAAGUCAGCAAGAACAAGAGACUCCUGCCAAAUGGAAGUGAUGGUUGUAUGUGAUGCAAUCAUGUCAUCACAUACAUGUAAUUAGUAGGAAAAUCACACGGAAUGAGAAAUAGCCAUGGAGGGACAACCAUUUUGCUCUGGAGGAUAAUCUUUGCCCAUACACCUUUUUCUGAAGCUGUAUUUACAACACGGUCUUAGGUUUUCUGUCUUUGAACUUCUCCUAUGACAUGGGGGGAAAUUCAGAAGACCAAAAGCUGCAAAAGUCAGAUACUGAAAAACUCCAAUGAAAAUGGGCACCUGACGACACAUAACACAAACAUAACAAAGCCUGGCAAAUGUUGAUGUGUCUCAUGAAUAUGUGGAUGCCUUCGGAGGGAACUUGACGGACGAGAUGGAUGAAAGUACAUAUGCUGAUGAAUCUCUCUUUACUUUUAACUUCAAGGAGAGAAAAGGAGAUGAGAAACACUAUCCUAUAGUGCAUUCUUAGUGGUGAAAACCACACCAAAUACUUUUGAGGAUGCACCACACUCUGAAACAGUACUUUUUCUUUACUUAUUUCCAUCUCUAUUGCAUCUCCCCAUUUAGAAUGUUGGAUCCAAGAUGGCAAGGAUUUUGUAUGUUUUGUUUUUCAUUUUAACUAAUUUCCUAUAAUUGUGCAAGGCCAUUGUAGGUGCUCAAUAAAAUCUUGCGCAGUGAAUGAAUGAGGA
Miniopterus natalensis is the source of this 2775-nucleotide long non-coding RNA. RefSeq lists it as uncharacterized. Lineage: Eukaryota; Metazoa; Chordata; Mammalia; Chiroptera; Miniopteridae. The record is from RefSeq and is a predicted model, not a curated record.